UGGGGAAUAUUGCACAAUGGAGGGAACUCUGAUGCAGCGACGCCGCGUGAACGAAGAAGGCUUUCGAGUCGUAAAGUUUUUUUAUAUGGGAAGAUAAUGACGGUACCAUAAGAAAAAGCCCCGGCUAACUACGUGCCAGCAGCCGCGGUAAUACGUAGGGGGCUAGCGUUGUCCGGAAUCACUGGGCGUAAAGGGUUCGCAGGCGGAAAUGCAAGUCAGGUGUAAAAGGCAGUAGCUUAACUACUGUAAGCAUUUGAAACUGCAUAUCUUGAGAAGAGUAGAGGUAAGUGGAAUUUUUAGUGUAGCGGUGAAAUGCGUAGAUAUUAAAAAGAAUACCGGUGGCGAAGGCGACUUACUGGGCUCAUUCUGACGCUGAGGAACGAAAGAGUGGGUAGCAAACAGG
Molecule: ribosomal RNA, 403 nt
Filed under: bacterium
Lineage: Bacteria
Description: partial 16S ribosomal RNA
Rfam family: Bacterial small subunit ribosomal RNA
Source: RNAcentral